This 372-nucleotide ribosomal RNA is filed under the name uncultured organism. RNAcentral describes it as "partial 16S ribosomal RNA". It matches the Rfam family "Bacterial small subunit ribosomal RNA", at positions 527 to 896 of the family's 1533-position model. The record is from RNAcentral.
GUAGGUGGCAAGCGUUGUCCGGAAUUAUUGGGCGUAAAGCGCGCGCAGGCGGUUCUUUAAGUCUGAUGUGAAAGCCCACGGCUCAACCGUGGAGGGUCAUUGGAAACUGGAGAACUUGAGUACAGAAGAGGAAAGCGGAAUUCCACGUGUAGCGGUGAAAUGCGUAGAGAUGUGGAGGAACACCAGUGGCGAAGGCGGCUUUCUGGUCUGUAACUGACGCUGAGGCGCGAAAGCGUGGGGAGCAAACAGGAUUAGAUACCCUGGUAGUCCACGCCGUAACGAUGAGUGCUAAGUGUUAGGGGGGUUUCCGCCCCCCUUAGUGCUGCAGCUAACGCAUUAAGCACUCCGCCUGGGAGUACGGCCGCAAGGCUG